AAUACGACUCUCGGCAACGGAUAUCUCGGCUCUCGCAUUGAUGAAGAACGUAGCGAAAUGCGAUACUUGGUGUGAAUUGCAGAAUCCCGUGAACCAUCGAGUCUUUGAACGCAAGUUGCGCCCCAAGCCGUUAGGCCGAGGGCACGCCUGCCUGGGUGUCACGC
RNAcentral lists this ribosomal RNA (164 nucleotides) under Acer crataegifolium (hawthorn maple). RNAcentral's name for it is "5.8S ribosomal RNA". It matches the Rfam family "5.8S ribosomal RNA". Rfam says of the family: 5.8S ribosomal RNA (5.8S rRNA) is a component of the large subunit of the eukaryotic ribosome. The record is from RNAcentral. Lineage: Eukaryota; Viridiplantae; Streptophyta; Magnoliopsida; Sapindales; Sapindaceae.